GGAUAACGAAUUUGAAUUCGGGCUCCGGCCCGAUCCUCCCACCCUUUGUGUACCUACCUCUGUUGCUUUGGCGGGCCGCGGUCCUCCGCGGCCGCCCCCCUCCCCGGGGGGGUGGCCAGCGCCCGCCAGAGGACCAUCAAACUCCAGUCAGUAAACGAUGCAGUCUGAAAAACAUUUAAUAAACUAAAACUUUCAACAACGGAUCUCUUGGUUCUGGCAUCGAUGAAGAACGCAGCGAAAUGCGAUAAGUAAUGUGAAUUGCAGAAUUCAGUGAAUCAUCGAAUCUUUGAACGCACAUUGCGCCCUUUGGUAUUCCGAAGGGCAUGCCUGUUCGAGCGUCAUUACAACCCUCAAGCUCUGCUUGGUAUUGGGCACCGUCCUUUGCGGGCGCGCCUCAAAGACCUCGGCGGUGGCGUCUUGCCUCAAGCGUAGUAGAACAUACAUCUCGCUUCGGAGCGCAGGGCGUCGCCCGCCGGACGAACCUUCUGAACUUUUCUCAAGGUUGACCUCGGAUCAGGUAGGGAUACCCGCUGAACUUAAGCAUAUCAAUAAGCGGAGGA
RNAcentral lists this ribosomal RNA (560 nucleotides) under Botryosphaeria dothidea. RNAcentral's name for it is "eukaryotic LSU rRNA". The stretch from base 188 to 341 matches the Rfam family "5.8S ribosomal RNA". Lineage: Eukaryota; Fungi; Ascomycota; Dothideomycetes; Botryosphaeriales; Botryosphaeriaceae. The record is from RNAcentral.